RNAcentral lists this transfer RNA (112 nucleotides) under Aureobasidium pullulans. RNAcentral describes it as "tRNA-Pro". It matches the Rfam family "tRNA". Rfam says of the family: Transfer RNA (tRNA) molecules are approximately 80 nucleotides in length. The record is from RNAcentral. Lineage: Eukaryota; Fungi; Ascomycota; Dothideomycetes; Dothideales; Saccotheciaceae. RNAcentral also lists the same sequence under 1 other name.
GGUCUCGUGGUCUAGCGGUAUGAUACUCGCUUAGGGAGAUACAGCUUCUGCUGUUUCUUGAAAACUCUAAGCCAAUUGCGAGUGGUCCCGGGUUCGAUUCCCGGCGAGACCC